GGAGAUUACAAGCAUAAGCUCAAAACUCAAAGGACUUGGCGGCGCUUUAAACCCACCUAGAGGAGCCUGUCCUGUAACCGAUAACCCUCGUUAAACCUUACCUUCCUUUGUUCUCAGCCUAUAUACCGCCGUCGUCAGCUCACCCUAUGAAGGUACAUUAGUAAGCAAGACUGGUCUAGCCCAAAACGUCAGGUCGAGGUGUAGCAUAUAAGAAGGAAAGAGAUGGGCUACAUUUCCUACAUAGGGAACCACGGAUAGCAUAAUGAAACAAGUGCAUUGAAGAAGGAUUUAGCAGUAAGUAAAAAAUAGAGUGUUUUACUGAAACCGGCCCUAAAGCGCGCACACACCGCCCGUCGUUCUCUCCUCGCCCAACCCUAAACUUAGAUAAAAAACCAAUAUCAGCAAAGGAGAGACAAGUCGUAACAUGGUAAGUGUACUGGAAAGUGCCCUUGGAUAAAC
RNAcentral lists this ribosomal RNA (459 nucleotides) under Kryptolebias brasiliensis. RNAcentral describes it as "partial 12S ribosomal RNA". It matches the Rfam family "Bacterial small subunit ribosomal RNA", at positions 875 to 1527 of the family's 1533-position model. Lineage: Eukaryota; Metazoa; Chordata; Actinopteri; Cyprinodontiformes; Rivulidae. The record is from RNAcentral.